CCCUUAGAUGUUCUGGGCCGCACGCGCGCUACACUGAUGCGUUCAACAAGUUUCCUUGGCCGAGAGGCCUGGGCAAUCUUCUUAAUAUGUAUCGUGAUAGGGAUAGAUUAUUGCAAUUAUUAAUCUUGAACGAGGAAUUCCUAGUAAACGCAGAUCAUCAAUCUGCAUUGAUUACGUCCCUGCCCUUUGUACACACCGCCCGUCGCACCUACCGAUUGGAUGUUCCGGUGAAGCCUCGGGGUGAGGACUGGUGCCUUUAUUGGCAUGAGUUGUUCAGAACUUGUCUAAACCUUAUCAUCUAGAGGAAGGUGAAGUCGUAACA
RNAcentral lists this ribosomal RNA (322 nucleotides) under uncultured eukaryote. Its description in RNAcentral is "partial 18S ribosomal RNA". It matches the Rfam family "Eukaryotic small subunit ribosomal RNA", at positions 1470 to 1796 of the family's 1831-position model. The record is from RNAcentral.